RNAcentral lists this transfer RNA (73 nucleotides) under Cordylochernes scorpioides. RNAcentral describes it as "tRNA-Thr". The record is from RNAcentral. Lineage: Eukaryota; Metazoa; Arthropoda; Arachnida; Pseudoscorpiones; Chernetidae.
GUCCAGGGAUGGGAAUCGAACCAACAGUAUUCGGCUUACCGGGCAGAUGCCAUGUCCACUAGGCUACCCUGGA